Molecule: ribosomal RNA, 263 nt
Filed under: uncultured bacterium
Lineage: Bacteria
Description: partial 16S ribosomal RNA
Rfam family: Bacterial small subunit ribosomal RNA
Source: RNAcentral
GACGAACGCUGGCGGCGUGCUUAACACAUGCAAGUCGAGCGGUAAGGCCCUUUCGGGGGUACACGAGCGGCGAACGGUGAGUAACACGUGGGUGACCUGCCCUCAGCUCUGGGAUAAGCCUGGGAAACUGGGUCUAAUACUGGAUAUGACUCCACGGUGCAUGUCGUGGGUGGAAAGCCUUGUGCGGCUGAGGAUGGGCCCGCGGCCUAUCAGCUUGUUGGAGGGGUGAGGCCUACCAAGGCGACGACGGGUAGCCGGCCUGA